UCUUCCGCAAUGGACGAAAGACUGACGGAGCAACGCCGCGUGAGUGAUGAAGGCUUUCGGAUCGUCAAACUCUGUUGUUAGGGAAGAACAAGUACCGUUCGAACAGGGCGGUACCUUGACGGUACCUAACCAGAACGCCACGGCUACCUACGUGCCAGCAGCCGCGGUAAUACGUAGGCGGCAAGCAUUGUCCGGAAUUAUUGGGCGUAAAGCGCGCGCAGGCGGUUUCUUAAGUCUGAUGUGAAAGCCCCCGGCUCAACCGGGGAGGGUCAUUGGAAACUGGGGAACUUGAGUGCAGAAGAGGAGAGUGGAAUUCCACGUGUAGCGGUGAAAUGCGUAGAGAUGUGGAGGAACACCAGUGGCGAAGGCGACUCUCUGGUCUGUAACUGACGCUGAGGCGCGAAAGCGUGGGGAGCGAACAG
RNAcentral lists this ribosomal RNA (422 nucleotides) under uncultured bacterium. Its description in RNAcentral is "bacterial SSU rRNA". It matches the Rfam family "Bacterial small subunit ribosomal RNA", at positions 362 to 775 of the family's 1533-position model. The record is from RNAcentral.